Long non-coding RNA from Neodiprion virginianus, 215 nucleotides. RefSeq lists it as uncharacterized. Lineage: Eukaryota; Metazoa; Arthropoda; Insecta; Hymenoptera; Diprionidae. The record is from RefSeq and is a predicted model, not a curated record. The transcript is spliced from 3 exons.
GAAUCAAUCCUCGUCAUUUUUUUCUGACAAUAAUAUUGUCGACGACAAUAAUGUACUUAAUAUUUUGGAAAAAAGUUCAGAUAAAUAUUUGGAACCAGACAGUAUCGAAUUUCAAACGUCAAAUAAUAGCAGUAUUAAUUUCGAUGACUCCUAUAAACAAUCUGAUUCAAAUGAAUUUAUGGAAAAUGCAAUCACAAAUUCUGACAACGAUGACA